This 468-nucleotide ribosomal RNA is filed under the name uncultured bacterium. RNAcentral's name for it is "partial 16S ribosomal RNA". It matches the Rfam family "Bacterial small subunit ribosomal RNA", at positions 28 to 507 of the family's 1533-position model. The record is from RNAcentral.
GACGAACGCUGGCGGCGUGCUUAACACAUGCAAGUCGAACGGAAAGGCCCUGCUUUUGUGGGGUGCGCGAGUGGCGAACGGGUGAGUAACACGUGAGUAACCUGCCCUUGACUUUGGGAUAACGUCAUGAAACUGGGGCUAAUACCGGAUAGGAGCUCCUGCUGCAUGGUGGGCGUUGGAAAGUUUCGGCGGUUGGGGAUGGACUCGCGGCUGAUCAGCUUGUUGGUGGGGUAGUGGCUUACCAAGGCUUUGACGGGUAGCCGGCCUGAGAGGGUGACCGGCCACAUUGGGAAUGAGACACGGCCAAGCAUCCUACGGGAGGAAGCAGUGGGGAAUAUUGCACAAUGGGCGGGAGCCUGAUGCAGCAACGCCGCGUGCGGGAUGACGGCCUUCGGGUUGUAAACCGCUUUCGCCUGUGACGAAGCGUGAGUGACGGUAAUGGGUAAAGAAGCACCGGCUAACUACGUG